CAUGCAAGUCGAGCGAAGCAAUUUAAGUGAAGUUUUCGGAUGGAUCUUAGAUUGACUGAGCGGCGGACGGGUGAGUAACGCGUGGAUAACCUGCCUCACACAGGGGGAUAACAGUUAGAAAUGACUGCUAAUACCGCAUAAGCGCACAGUACCGCAUGGUAUAGUGUGAAAAACUCCGGUGGUGUGAGAUGGAUCCGCGUCUGAUUAGGUAGUUGGUGAGGUAACGGCCCACCAAGCCGACGAUCAGUAGCCGACCUGAGAGGGUGACCGGCCACAUUGGGACUGAGACACGGCCCAAACUCCUACGGGAGGCAGCAGUGGGGAAUAUUGCACAAUGGGCGAAAGCCUGAUGCAGCAACGCCGCGUGAGUGAAGAAGUAUCUCGGUAUGUAAAGCUCUAUCAGCAGGGAAGAAAAUGACGGUACCUGACUAAGAAGCCCCGGCUAACUACGUGCCAGCAGCCGCGGUAAUACGUAGGGGGCAAGCGUUAUCCGGAUUUACUGGGUGUAAAGGGAGCGCAGACGGCACUACAAGUCUGAAGUGAAAGCCCGGGGCUCAACCCCGGGACUGCUUUGGAAACUGUAGAGCUAGAGUGCUGGAGAGGCAAGUGGAAUUCCUAGUGUAGCGGUGAAAUGCGUAGAUAUUAGGAAGAACACCAGUGGCGAAGGCGGCUUGCUGGACAGUAACUGACGUUCAGGCUCGAAAGCGUGGGGAGCAAACAGGAUUAGAUACCCUGGUAGUCCACGCUGUAA
Molecule: ribosomal RNA, 751 nt
Filed under: uncultured bacterium
Lineage: Bacteria
Description: bacterial SSU rRNA
Rfam family: Bacterial small subunit ribosomal RNA
Source: RNAcentral